UGCUGACUCGCCUUCAUGUUCACACACUAGCAUAUCAAGUUAUCCUCACAACACAGCCUUCAAGAUGGAAGCACUCACGCGCCGGAGCAGCAAGGGCCGCUCUUACUGCACAAAGAUAUAUCUGCGGAACUUCAGAGGUGGAUGUUGUGACCGAGCAAAAUUAAUACUCAAUGAAAGUUUCUCAACUUCGAGGAUAAUUGGCAGUAGACGAGUUUCAAUUAUUGAUGACAGUCCAGUUCUUGUUGGACAGAAAUCUCCACAGUUUGAGAUCUGCGUUGCUCCUGUUUUAGUCUGCACUUCACCACGGCAAACAGCAGGUGGUGGAGACAACAUUUCCGCUGCUGGAUAGCACCUCAACUGUAAUUGCUCCUUUGAUCUCAUCAUAGAUGAUUGUGACAUAUGGGGAGAUUGUCAUCCCUUAAGAGACAUAUGUUCAAAUGAAAUUUUUCGUGGUCACGGAGAACACAGUUAUACAAAGUCGUAUUUUUUGUUCGCCGCAACAAUUGUCUCUUGUUACCGAUUUUGUGUUAUUUGCGUCACUUUUCACAACCAAUGAGAGCAAAGCAGCUAGAAGUGAGGUUAGAAAUCUUGUUACAAAUGUACACAACAGUCGUAAGAAGACUCUGAGGACGUUCCGAUUUUUUUCGAAACAUGUUCCAACCAAACGUUACAAAUUUGUGCAAUUAAAAACGAAUAAAAAUAGGCCACGCCCCUUAACAUAAAAAACAUCCAACAAAAAUAUGGUUGUUACAAGAUGUUUCCAAAUGUUUCGUCGAACCAAAAUACGACUCAAUAUCUGCAGUUAUAAUUUCCUUGGGGAUGGUUUUAAAAUAUGCAAUUCUAAACUGCAAAUUUUUCGACCCUCCAUUCCUCUCCCUAUCCUUUAAGACUUAAAAAACAAAAUGGCGUAAAAUCUCUCCUCAACCUCCUCUCCCCUAAAGCAUUAUGUAUUUAAUGAAUAAGUACAUAAUAAAUAUAUAAUAAUAAUAAAUGGACUUCAUUAUACAAUUGGGAACUAUAUUUUUGGGUUCAUUCAUAGAAGAACUCUCUUAAACAGGCCAACUUAUGGCAUAUGUUCUGUUCCUAAAAUAAACCAGAAAUAAAGGCUUCGUAUUGCGAAGUGUAGUUUAAAUAGUAUGUUGAAUUUGGACUCGAAAUCGAAAACUAGUGGUGCAUAAUAACUUUUUUGGUUUUAAGUUCAAUUUUAAAACUAGAAUAUUUGUAUUUGUAAGAAGUUAUACAAAAUUUUGAAAGGCCCGCAUAGUUCAUGAUCCUGUUUUUCUUAUGCAGCUUAUCUAUUCGUGAAAAGGAAUUUUUGAGCAUUUUACAUGCACUGAAAAAAUAAAACUGAUUGAACUCACUGUUAACAAGAUUUGGUCUAAAUAAACCCUAAAAUCACCUGAGUCAAAAUAUUUCUGCUGAAUAUUAGCAAAAUUUUUCUCAACGCAAGCAUUUCCCUUCCUGGGUACAGAAAAUUUCUCCUUGGUGGAAAUUUCAAGAUAUUUUUGCCUGAAUCAAGGAACUUUAUUUUCAGGGUACGUUUAGCAAGCAAAAUGUAGCAGUGCUCUACCCUCUUUCAGCAAUUAGGAGAAGUCUUUUUCCUCCUUGCAGGCUGAUAAUGGACAUUGAUAGACAAAGGAUAGACUAAGGAGGAUAAAGAGAAAAUGGACAGAGUCUGUGGGUGGAAGGGGGUGUGAUUGUUUUAGACUGAGGAGAAAAUGAUGGUCUAACAUAGGGUCUCUCGUAGGUUGCUUACCUCCUUUGUCCAUGGCGACACCAGCUUUGACCAAUAGAAUCCCUUUAUUUUCCAUGGGAAUCAGGGAGGCGUUGCCACAUUUUCAUCAGUAUCAUGGUAAAAAGCUCACCACAUUUACUUUUUAGCCACCAUAUUCUGGAGACUGAUGCAUGAAAUUCCAUUUUUUAAAAUUAAUUUUAUUGGAUGUAUAUUAGAUAUAAUACCUAAAAAUAACAAAAUUUAAUUGGUGACAAGUCACAACGAAGUUCAAGAGGUUUCCUUAUUUGUUGGAAG
Molecule: long non-coding RNA, 2029 nt
Filed under: Bemisia tabaci
Lineage: Eukaryota; Metazoa; Arthropoda; Insecta; Hemiptera; Aleyrodidae
Description: lncRNA ENSSWEETPG005894
Source: RNAcentral